Non-coding RNA from Callorhinus ursinus (northern fur seal), 4534 nucleotides. NCBI's taxonomy places the organism in Eukaryota, Metazoa, Chordata, Mammalia, Carnivora, Otariidae. The record is from RefSeq and is a predicted model, not a curated record.
GAGUGUUGGUGAGGAUGGGGCAGCCAGCUGGUGCUCCCCAAUACCACCCAUCGGAUGGCAAACAAGAAGCCAGGAGACGGGAAGGUCAACACUAACGGCCGGGGGGAAACAACAUUCACAGACAAAGACAACAGGAGCCCAGUUCCAAAAUGGACCAAGGAUAUGAACAAGCAGUGCCCAAAGAUCAGAUCCAGACAGACGUGCAUUUGGGAAGGGGUCCGCAUCCCUAAGCAGCUGACGAAGUACCAACUCCAACAACAAUGCAAUCUGACCUCACGCUGCGACGGGAACGUUGGCCAAGCCACAGGGGCCGGCCACAGGCCGGCAGGGACAGUUUUGAAAAAGCAAGCCGCUGCCGCCGAAGACAUACAGGCCCACGGCGGCCCUGCCCUGUGCCCCUGCACACGAGGAUGUGUUCAUCACCAGCAACGGGGAGACUGGAGCCUAAAGGUCACUGGCUGGACUGCACAAGGGGUCCCCAUGCCACAGGGAGCAGUCGAGGUAAGAAAUGUCCCAGCGGGCAGGAGGACACUUAAAAUCAGGCAAAGUACGAAAGUCAUGAGUUUGUGCAAACUUGUGUCUGAACGGGGCACACAAACGUGUAAACACACACACAUCUGUGGGGUGUCUCUCCUGGGGCCCCAGGAGUCCUGUGCCGGGCCCCCCUGCCUGGCGAUGCCGCCCCACAGGGUCCCCCUUGUCCAAGCCAGGCUGGCUCCGACACGUCCCACCUCAGCCACACCCACGCCAGGUGUUCCUUACGUAGAGAAAUGGCACCAGAACGGGCUUGCUCUGCAGCACGCUCUCUCCCACCGCAUAAGGGCCCUGCUAACCGCCCACCCCAGCGCCAGGGGCGCCAUCCCCCCAAAGACGAUGCUGCCGUCUGCACUCUCACGCACCCGUGCCGGCAUUCCCACAAACCCUUUCCAGAACACGGCCCGCGAUGCCUGCCAGUAGUGGGACAGCCCUGGUCAGCCCUGGUCCCCAACACCGUGCACAGAGUGACGGGCCCCCGGGGCGCCUGUGGGCAGUUCCCGGGCGUAUGCGUGUCUGCACCCGGGGACGGCCACCACGCCUUCACUCUGUUCUGUGCUGUGGGUACUAGACCCUUGGUGACCACGUGUCAAAUCUUUCUCGUAGGACAACACUCGAUUUUUACCUUUAUGGAGCCUUCUCUGAGAACUUCCCCAGUUUUCUACAGCUCUUUAUCUUUUGCUUUAUGCACUCAGGGUUUCUGACUAGCCUGGCCCAGCCCUCCCUCCCCCUGCGCUACAAAAGAUACCCCCAACAUUUCCUAGCUCCUGUGUCUGGAAUAUCGACUUCCGUGAGUGGAGGCAGGGGGAUGCCCUGCCGCCUGCCCCUGGGACAGGGAGCUCCACGGGGAGCACCGACAGUGCCGUCGCUAAGAUACGCCCCCCUUUAAUCUUGCAGCUGUAGCCCUCUGCGUGGACUCUGGGAUGGCCCGCCAACGUUGAUUUUAAAACUAACCAUGUGGGUGUAUCGGUGGGUGCGGGGUAUGGGGGGGGGGGGCAAACACCGGUGCGCUCGGCCUCCCUGUGCCGCCCCAGAGCAGCAGAAGCAGCAAGCAUCUUUGUCUCCCUCCUGAGCCUCGCUCAGGCCUUCAUCCAACAGGAAGAAAAGGCCUUCUCCCCCAUCUCCUGAGUUGUCGUCAGAGCGGGUCUGCACUUUCUCAGUUCCUUGGCGCUCGCCUCUUACCCUGUAGCCACAGUACCGAUGAACCACUCAGCUCACCGCAGAAUCUUUGGUUCCCUCUGUUCUGAAGACCAUGCUGGUUCUACUCCUCUGUGCUGCGGCCUCAAGCCAGCCUCGCUCUCUUCCCCUGAGAAGCAAUUCAGUGUUUACGUCUGGCUGGCGAAGGAGUCUUUGUCACAUCCAGUAAUUUUAAUACGAUUUUUAUUCUGUUGGCCAUUCUGGAUGGAUUUCCCUGAAAUACAGGGUCCUUUUCUUUCCCACUUCCCUUGAGUUUUCCAGAAGGUCAGCGGAGGCGCAGGCUCGUCUCCAGGCUGGGGCCACGCAGGGAUGCUCCUGGGCCUGCUCCCUGUGCUGUGCGUGUCUCCUGGUCUUUCUCUGUCGUGUCCGCCCUGCGUCUGCUGCUCCCCACAUGCCCCUUGCAGCGGAAGCUCUGCCCGGCAGACGCCCGUGUCUCCUCCUGUCCCGUCCUGAGCCCGCCGAGUUCCCGACUCAGCUCUGCCGGCUGUCUGGCCACCUCCAGCUCCUCACACUUCAGAAUCCACGCUCAACGCCGGGUAGAGCUUUCAUCCGCUGCUCCCUUCGUCCCGUCUCUGAGCGCGCUGGGGGUCUGCGGCGGCUCGCAGCUGGACUGGGGGUCCUGCUGUCUCAGGUACCCUUCUCUGCUGCCAGCCUGACGGGGGUCCCCACCGCUGCCCCCACCACGGGUCCCUUCUCUUUCUCACUCCUGGAAGAUGGUCCUUCCCGAGGCCUGUCACCCGCGCCUCCCAGGAGCCCCCCGUGCCUGUCUCCGCUGUCCUCUCUGGAAGCUCAGUGGGAACUCAGCACUCUCUCAGUCCUCAGUUCCGCUCCAGAUAUGCUUUGUAUGUACUUCUUGUUGUAGCUGCUUUGGAAGUGAACUGCCGCCCUCUCCUGCCAGAAUUCCAUGUGUAGAUUCUUUAACUUAGAGAUUCAUGCUGCUGACUGUGGAUCUCCUUCUGUCUCCUUUUUUUUUUUUUUCAUCGAACUGCUUCUAAGAUCGCCCCAAGCUCUCAGAUACACAUGGAGCCCGCCCCCACUGCCGCCUCCCUGGGCCCUCCUGCACCCCCACAACCGCACCCAGUCAGGAGACUGCGCCCCCGGCCGAGGCCUGCCGCAGCCGCUCCACACACUCCCUCCAAAGUCAACCUUAUCUGACGUCCGCACACCAAGCGCGGCCCUCUCCGGACGAGCGGCUGCCAAGUCUUUUCUUUCCUAGUGUACUCUUAGAGCCUUUCUUGUUCUUUUACUUUAAAUAUUUUAUUUUAUAUUUUAGAAAGAGCGAGUGCACAAGUGGGAGGGGCGGAAGGAGAGAAUCUCAAGCAGGCUCCAUGCCCAGUGUGGAGCCCAACGCCGGGCGCUCCACCUCACGGCCCUGAGACCGUGACCCGGGCCAAAGUCAAGAGUCGGACGCUCAACCGCUGAGCCUACCCACACAGCCCUGGGGCGGCCGCUCCCUGGAACGCGCUCUUCUUCUCUCUGGGGCUUUCAAUCUUUGCCGUCUUGGCUACCCUACAGGUUUGGGUUGGUUUUUUGUUGUUGUUGUUGUUGUUGUUUUAAAUAACCUAUCUAGGUAUAGACUUAUUUUUAUUCAUUCUGUUCAAACCUUGGUCAGUUUCAUCAGCUUCCAGAAAAUCCUUUUUUCAUACGACCUUUCCCCCCAUUCCCCAGUCUCUGCUUCUGGAGCAUCCACCGAACAUUCCUACUUUCCACAUCUUCGGGCCGCUCUGACAAAGUUUACACCUUUUCAUCCUCCUGCACUGCGGUCCACAGCCCCAGGGCUUCCUCUCCGGCCGCUUUCCCCGCGGCUGCCUAGUGCCUCCGCAGCCGCCUUCUGGGCUCAUUCCCACGGCUCCGUGUCUGAGCCGCUCACGUCUGCACCCUGCUCUUCCCUCGUGAUGCCCACGUCUCCUUCAAUGGCUCCCGCCACUUCUAACGGAGGUCCUGCUUCCACCACUUUCAGAUGGGGGUCCUGCUACUUCUGGUUCUCACCAAAAGCUAAGACUUUUUGAAGGUCUGCUUAGGGAGCUCUUGCUCCGUUGUGCUCUGUAAACGCUCAGGUAGGGCUAGUCCGUGUUGUUUUUAUAGCAAGGACACGAGGUAUGAAUUGUUUAAGUGUCCCUCGUGUGUCAAGGGCUUUAACUUGGCUUCGGUCAGGUGCCCUGGGUAAAUUAUCAUUUCAGAGACCAAUCUGUGUGUUAAAUGGUCAACUUCUCAUUUCUUACAACACACAAGUCGUUUAAAUUUAGACUCCAAAACAUAGUAAGACACAGGUCUAGGGGUUGAAUUUCUAAGAAAAUGACCUCCCUUGCCACUCCCCAAGGGCAGGGGAUGGCAGAGGGAAGCAUACAUUGGCCACCCCCGGGCCAAGUUUACUGGCCCCUCCCCUGGGACUACAGCCCUCCGUGGGGUCCACGCAGGCCCCUCGGGCCCAGCCGCACGGCAGACCUUGGAGCAGGCUCUGGCGGCGGUCCCCACGCAAGGGUUCAAACUCGAGCACCACCUGUUCCAUGCCCCAUGGCCCCCGGGAAGCUGUGCCUACAGACCCUUGCCUCCAUGGAUCUGGCCCCAGCAUGGCAGAACUCUCUGCCCCUAACCUGCCAUCCUGCACAGGUGUUGUGAGAGUUUCGAGGGGGCUGGACAGACGGUCCUCCUUCAUCAACGGCUGGUUAUUCUUAGUUUUCUGUUCAUUCUGUACUACAGAAUUCCUGUUUGCCAGCCUAUGGGAUCUGCAGGCCUGCCUCUUAUAGAAGCCUACGUGGACAGAGAUUUUAUUUAUUGGGGCGCCUGGGUGGCUCAGUUGGUC